Long non-coding RNA from Mytilus californianus (California mussel), 2157 nucleotides. RefSeq lists it as uncharacterized. The transcript has 2 exons. The record is from RefSeq and is a predicted model, not a curated record. Lineage: Eukaryota; Metazoa; Mollusca; Bivalvia; Mytilida; Mytilidae.
AUAGAAGCGACCAGAGGUCCGUCAUUUAUGAGUGACAUUUCUAUUGAUGGUCUUACUCUCAAUCCUGGUGUAUGUAACUAGGAAAUAAAAACAGAACAAAGAAAGUCUUAACAGUUUAAAUGAUCGUGUAACAGUUACUUUGUACUGUAUAAUGAUCAUGUGAUAUGUGGGUAAUUUUGUACAUAAUAAUGAUCAUGUGAUAUUCACAAUGACUUUUACAUUAUGAUGAUUAAGUGGUAUUCAGUAACUUGUACAUUUUGAUUAUCAUGUGAUAUUCAUAAUGAGUUGAACACCAAAAAGAUCAUAUAAUAUUAAGUUAUAUGAUAGCAGCUCUUACAAAUAAUCAAAAUAGGUCAAUCAAAACAGAGUUUUAUUAGUUAAGGCUUUUCAUGUCAUGCCUCAUAAAGUGGUUGCAUUAUUUUAUAUGUCCCUACGUCUGUUCAUGCCCAAUGUAUUUGAAGGAAUAACGAUGCGAUCAAUAUUAAAAGGUUAUCAAAAUUAUCGGGUUUGUAUUAACAUUUUGUGGGUGUCACAAAAAAAGCAGAAUCAGUGUUCCGUUCUGAAACACCUGCAAUGACUCACAUAUUUUCUCAGUUGUUGUUUUCCGUUUUGAAUGUGUCAGUUCUUUUUUCGGUUCAUGAGUUUGAAUGUCCUUUUGGGAUGUUUUGUUUCUCUUUUAUCAUAAAAUCAAGAGUGUGUAUGUCCCUUUUGUAUCUUUUGCCUCUCUUGCAUGUUCAGAGCUUUCUUUUGUUUAAAUUGUCAGGAUUCUGCCUAUAUGUAGCAGUUCAUUGACGUUUAUUUUCUCAUGCUUUUCUUUUAUUUGCAAGUAAUUGGAAUUUGGUAACUCACAAACCAUGUUAAUCACACCUUGUUUUUAACCCAAUGUCAAUAAAUAUUAAAGCGGUGUAUUUAUAUUGUGUAAAUUGAACACUAAUUAAUAUUUGUUUUGUCAGCUAUAACAAAAGUUGUUCCAACACAGUGGGAUUUUGAUUGCGAUUGAUUAAUGGGAAAGGUGUAUGUGCAUUACAUAUACCAAUAGAUUUGUGUAUUUGAGGUUGAUUUGUGUGGUUGAUGUGUGAUGCAUCACCUUUUACUAAAAUGUUCUAUUAACUUAUCCGAUGAAAUUGUCAUGGGAUUUUGUUUAGUUUAAGCCUUCAUAAUUCAGAGUUAUUGUGUGGUUGAUGUGUGUCGCAUUGACGUUUAACUGAUAUAUUACUUCAACUGAUGUGAAGGUCAUGUAUGUUUUUGUUAAAGCGAAUCCUUCAUCAUUCGAAGUUAUCAAAAACCUUUUUUUUCCUAGGAUUAGCAUGGCAAAUUUAAAAAAAAAAACUCAUCUGCAUACCAAUAAGUUUUCUGGAUUUAUUCAUCAUUUGUGGCAUCCAUUCAGUCUUUUAUUGGUUUGUAGUCUCGAGUCAGCAUUGUAUCAUUGUGCGAGUGUAUUUUGUGUGUGUAAUGGUGGUGUCGUUAGUAAGUAUUUCGACUGUAUUCUAAUUUUUUCCCCAUGAAAAGUAGUGCCGCAGUCAAAUUACCAUGCAAUUCAGUGACCACGAGUCGAACAUAUCAUUUCAAAAACCGGACAGGGGUUAAAUUUAUAACAUUGUUAUUUGAUCUCCCAAGUAAAUUUGAGCCCCCUGUAUUUCAUAUAAAGUAUUGAAGAAUGACAUAGGUACAAUAUUUUGGAGAGGGAGUUCAAUUUUCCAUUGAAGGGGAUCAAAAUAAAAUAGGAAAGUGCUUAACAUCUUUUCGGACAUAUGUUUUUCAUUUAAGAUAGCAAUUGAUCCUUUAUAAAUAGAUACUAAAGGGUUUGGUCAUUAGAAAUUCUGACUUCUGAAAGAGGUUGUUCAUUCUUUUAUGGUAAAGGGUCUAGUUGAUGCGGAAAUUGUGCAUCUAAGGUUCAAUGGUAGGGGUCAAACUACUGUAGAUAAUUAUUUCAUCAAAAAUUUCAUAAAACAAUGAUGAUUUGAUAUUUCGAAAUUUCAAAAAGAGAGGAGAUCCAAAUACCAUGAUUUAGAAGAAGUAUACAUGUACCUUUUCCAAAAUGUAUUUUCAUUCUAGUUACUUGUAUAGAUGCAGCUAUCUUGAUGAUGUACUUACUGUUGAUAUUUCCGAGUUUAUUAACCAUGAAUAAUGUAUUCAUUAAUAAAGCUUAAGAUUAUA